Molecule: non-coding RNA, 432 nt
Organism: Paralichthys olivaceus (Japanese flounder)
Lineage: Eukaryota; Metazoa; Chordata; Actinopteri; Pleuronectiformes; Paralichthyidae
Source: RefSeq, a predicted model, not a curated record
CUGGAUAUCCCCCUGAGUCCCACUGUAACAUCCCUCAAUCUGCACUGUAAUCACAUCCCGAGGAUCGAGGGCCUGACCUCAGCUUGGCAUCUGCGGCACUUAGACCUUUCUUCCAAUUGCAUUUCUAAGAUUGAGGGUUUAAGUUCGCUCACUUCCCUCAGGACAUUAAAUUUAUCCUGUAACUUAAUCACGAAGGUUGAAGGACUGAAUGGCCUCGUGAACCUAACAAGAUUAAACUUGUCCUACAAUCAGAUAAAUAACCUCACAGGGUUAUUGUACCUUCAUGGAACUGAGUACAAGCUGAAUUACAUCGGUCUCCAUAGCAACCACCUGGACCAUAUUGAUCACCUGCUGCAGUGCCUGCUGGGAUUGCAAAGCUUAAGAGAGGUGACUUUGAGCCAGAAUGGCAAAGGCAACCCUGUGUGUAGAUCA